RNAcentral lists this ribosomal RNA (598 nucleotides) under Bacillus sp. Bt 34. Its description in RNAcentral is "bacterial SSU rRNA". It matches the Rfam family "Bacterial small subunit ribosomal RNA", at positions 59 to 641 of the family's 1533-position model. Lineage: Bacteria; Bacillati; Bacillota; Bacilli; Caryophanales; Bacillaceae. The record is from RNAcentral.
AAGUCGAGCGAAUCGAUGGGAGCUUGCUCCCUGAGAUUAGCGGCGGACGGGUGAGUAACACGUGGGCAACCUGCCUAUAAGACUGGGAUAACUUCGGGAAACCGGAGCUAAUACCGGAUACGUUCUUUUCUCGCAUGAGAGAAGAUGGAAAGACGGUUUCGGCUGUCACUUAUAGAUGGGCCCGCGGCGCAUUAGCUAGUUGGUGAGGUAAUGGCUCACCAAGGCGACGAUGCGUAGCGACCUGAGAGGGUGAUCGGCCACACUGGGACUGAGACACGGCCCAGACUCCUACGGGAGGCAGCAGUAGGGAAUCUUCCGCAAUGGACGAAAGUCUGACGGAGCAACGCCGCGUGAACGAAGAAGGCCUUCGGGUCGUAAAGUUCUGUUGUUAGGGAAGAACAAGUACCAGAGUAACUGCUGGUACCUUGACGGUACCUAACCAGAAAGCCACGGCUAACUACGUGCCAGCAGCCGCGGUAAUACGUAGGUGGCAAGCGUUGUCCGGAAUUAUUGGGCGUAAAGCGCGCGCAGGUGGUUCUUUAAGUCUGAUGUGAAAGCCCACGGCUCAACCGUGGAGGGUCAUUGGAAACUGGGGAAC